UACGUAGGUGGCAAGCGUUGUCCGGAAUUAUUGGGCGUAAAGCGUGCGCAGGCGGUUUUGUAAGCCAGAUGUGAAAGCCCCGGGCUUAACCUGGGAAUGGCAUUUGGGACUGCAAGGCUUGAGUGCGGCAGAGGAGACUGGAAUUCCUGGUGUAGCAGUGAAAUGCGUAGAUAUCAGGAGGAAUACCGAUGGCGAAGGCAGGUCUCUGGGCUGACACUGACGCUCAUGCACGAAAGCGUGGGGAGCAAACAGG
This 253-nucleotide ribosomal RNA is filed under the name uncultured bacterium. RNAcentral's name for it is "partial 16S ribosomal RNA". It matches the Rfam family "Bacterial small subunit ribosomal RNA", at positions 524 to 776 of the family's 1533-position model. The record is from RNAcentral.